Molecule: small RNA, 27 nt
Filed under: Bombyx mori (domestic silkworm)
Lineage: Eukaryota; Metazoa; Arthropoda; Insecta; Lepidoptera; Bombycidae
Description: ovarian small RNA-6398
Source: RNAcentral
UAGGAACGGGUAUACCUCGCCGCGGAG